This 70-nucleotide transfer RNA is filed under the name Perca flavescens (yellow perch). Its description in RNAcentral is "tRNA-His". It matches the Rfam family "tRNA". From Rfam's summary of the family: Transfer RNA (tRNA) molecules are approximately 80 nucleotides in length. Their secondary structure includes four short double-helical elements and three loops (D, anti-codon, and T loops). Lineage: Eukaryota; Metazoa; Chordata; Actinopteri; Perciformes; Percidae. The record is from RNAcentral.
GCCGUGAUCGUAUAGUGGUUAGUACUCUGCGUUGUGGCAGCAAACCCCGGUUCGAAUCCGGGUCACGGCA